RNAcentral lists this non-coding RNA (24 nucleotides) under Arabidopsis thaliana (thale cress). Lineage: Eukaryota; Viridiplantae; Streptophyta; Magnoliopsida; Brassicales; Brassicaceae. The record is from RNAcentral.
UCUAUAAAUGCCUGGGGAUAUGUC